CAGAGUAGGUUUGCACGCGUUAAGUGCCGCCCGAACGGGGAGUUGUCGGGCGGACGAAAAGAGGUUUCUUGCGAUGUGCACGCCGCAUCCCGCUGU
Molecule: non-coding RNA, 96 nt
Filed under: bovine gut metagenome
Description: THF riboswitch
Rfam family: THF (Tetrahydrofolate) riboswitch aptamer
About the family: THF riboswitch presents a pseudoknot that joins P1-P2 and the loop of P3 and two THF binding.
Source: RNAcentral